GGCCUGAGUUAUUAGACGGCGGGGUAAAAGCGCCGCGCGGCAGAAGCGGCCAAGGAAGGGCCGCGGGACCCGCAGCCAUUUUUCUGCAGUGGAGCGAAAUGGCCAAACUGGGCUUUUCCUUUGUUCCACAAAGAGGGGAAUCCGCCAUGUGAAUCCGCACCGCGCGCAGUGGUGGGAGCCUCCAUAGCGCGGGUGCCAGACGACCCACUGAAGAAGGAAGAUUUAUAAAAAUAAUGCCAAGCCCUUAACCAAAAAAAAAAAAAAUUAAUGCGGAUUUUUUUUUUUCUCUCCUCCCUUAUGAUUCGGGAUCCAUCUUUGUCUUGUGUAACUAGGUCAAGGCACACCCUAUGUCAGCAGUUAACAAUUUCGAAUGCCAACCAAAAAAAAAAAGAACAUAUAGCCCAGGCCUGUGGCUAAUGGUAUUGUCCUGGGUGGAAAGAUCCCAAUGGUCGUCUGAAAGCGGUGGCGAUCUCCUUCUCCUCAGAAACAUCUAACAGUGCCUCUGAAACGUCUGUUCUCAGGGAGGGAUUUGAUUUCUCUUUCUGCACAAAGCUCUUGGUCCGUCCUCAGCCCUGGGUGGUUUGGUUUUUUAUGCGGAGAAACGCUGUGGAUCCAUUGCAGGCGUUACGUGGCUGUUAACUUGAAAGCACCAAAAAAAUAAAAAAAUCUGCCUGUGAAA
Neopelma chrysocephalum (saffron-crested tyrant-manakin) is the source of this 679-nucleotide long non-coding RNA. RefSeq lists it as uncharacterized. Lineage: Eukaryota; Metazoa; Chordata; Aves; Passeriformes; Pipridae. The record is from RefSeq and is a predicted model, not a curated record. The transcript has 2 exons.